GCGCCCGUAGCUCAGGGGAUAGAGCAACGGCCUUCUAAGCCGUCGGUCGCUGGUUCGAAUCCAGCCGGGCGCG
This 73-nucleotide transfer RNA is filed under the name Salinisphaera shabanensis E1L3A. It matches the Rfam family "tRNA". From Rfam's summary of the family: Transfer RNA (tRNA) molecules are approximately 80 nucleotides in length. Their secondary structure includes four short double-helical elements and three loops (D, anti-codon, and T loops). Further hydrogen bonds mediate the characteristic L-shaped molecular structure. tRNAs have two regions of fundamental functional importance: the anti-codon, which is responsible for specific mRNA codon recognition, and the 3' end, to which the tRNAs corresponding amino acid is attached (by aminoacyl-tRNA synthetases). tRNAs cope with the degeneracy of the genetic code in two manners: having more than one tRNA (with a specific anti-codon) for a particular amino acid; and 'wobble' base-pairing, i.e. permitting non-standard base-pairing at the 3rd anti-codon position. Lineage: Bacteria; Pseudomonadati; Pseudomonadota; Gammaproteobacteria; Salinisphaerales; Salinisphaeraceae. The record is from Rfam by way of RNAcentral.